UCCCCUGUAGCUCAGUUGGUAGAGCGUGCGGCUGUUAACCGCAUUGUCGUAGGUUCGAGCCCUACCGGGGGAG
RNAcentral lists this transfer RNA (73 nucleotides) under Mariniblastus sp. RNAcentral's name for it is "tRNA-Asn". It matches the Rfam family "tRNA". Rfam says of the family: Transfer RNA (tRNA) molecules are approximately 80 nucleotides in length. The record is from RNAcentral. RNAcentral also lists the same sequence under 2 other names. Lineage: Bacteria; Pseudomonadati; Planctomycetota; Planctomycetia; Pirellulales; Pirellulaceae.